This 253-nucleotide ribosomal RNA is filed under the name uncultured bacterium. RNAcentral's name for it is "partial 16S ribosomal RNA". It matches the Rfam family "Bacterial small subunit ribosomal RNA", at positions 524 to 776 of the family's 1533-position model. The record is from RNAcentral.
UACGUAGGUGGCAAGCGUUGUCCGGAAUUACUGGGUGUAAAGGGAGCGCAGGCGGGAAGCCAAGUCAGCUGUGAAAACUACGGGCUUAACUUGUAGACUGCAGUUGAAACUGGUUUUCUUGAGUGAAGUAGAGGUUGGCGGAAUUCCGAGUGUAGCGGUGAAAUGCGUUGAUAUUCGGAGGAACACCGGUGGCGAAGGCGGCCAACUGGGCUUUAACUGACGCUGAGGCUCGAAAGUGUGGGGAGCAAACAGG